Molecule: non-coding RNA, 213 nt
Filed under: Roseovarius albus
Lineage: Bacteria; Pseudomonadati; Pseudomonadota; Alphaproteobacteria; Rhodobacterales; Roseobacteraceae
Source: RNAcentral
CCGAUUGAUUUCGCCGAUGGUUCCCGGGCGUACAGCGCAAACCGGGAUGAAAAGGGAACGUGGUGCGGUGUAGCCUACUAGGCGCCAAUUCCACGACUGCCCCCGCAACUGUAAGCGGUGUGCCCCCCGAAUGACCACUGGGUGAAAACCUGGGAAGGUCGGGUGGGACCACAAGCCGCGAGUCAGGAGACCUGCCAUCGAAACGCAACUUCA